Molecule: ribosomal RNA, 253 nt
Filed under: uncultured bacterium
Lineage: Bacteria
Description: partial 16S ribosomal RNA
Rfam family: Bacterial small subunit ribosomal RNA
Source: RNAcentral
UACGUAGGUGGCAAGCGUUGUCCGGAUUUACUGGGCGUAAAGAGCGCGCAGGCGGUCGUUCAAGUCGAGUGUGAAAGCCCCCGGCUCAACUGGGGAGGGUCACUCGAUACUGAUCGACUCGAAGGCAGAAGAGGGAAGCGGAAUUCCCGGUGUAGUGGUGAAAUGCGUAGAUAUCAGGAAGAACACCCGUGGCUAAGGCGGCUCUCUAGUACGGUACUGACGCUGAGACGCGAAAGCGUGGGGAGCGAACAGG